ACAUGCAAGUCGAACGAGAAAGCCGAAAGCUUGUUUUGGCGAGUAGAGUGGCGCACGGGUGAGUAACGCGUGGGUAAUCUGCCUUCGAACCGGGGAUAACACUUCGAAAGGGGUGCUAAUACCGGAUGACAUCCAGGUGUCUUCGGGCGCCUGGAUCAAAGAUGGCCUCUCCAUGGAAGCUGUUGUUCGAAGAUGAGCCCGCGUCCCAUUAGCUUGUUGGUGGGGUAAAGGCCCACCAAGGCGACGAUGGGUAGCUGGUCUGAGAGGAUGAUCAGCCACACUGGCACUGACACACGGGCCAGACUCCUACGGGAGGCAGCAGUGAGGAAUUUUGCGCAAUGGGGGUAACCCUGACGCAGCAACGCCGCGUGAGUGAUGAAGGCCUUCGGGUCGUAAAGCUCUGUCGAGUGGGAAGAACCUGCAUUGGAGAUAAUAUUCCGAUGCAUUGACGGUACCACUGGAGGAAGCACCGGCUAACUCCGUGCCAGCAGCCGCGGUAAUACGGAGGGUGCAAGCGUUAUUCGGAAUCAUUGGGCGUAAAGGGCACGUAGGCGGUUUGCUGGGUCGGAUGUGAAAUCCCGGGGCUUAACCCCGGAAGUGCAUUCGAAACUGGCAGACUUGAGUAUGGGAGAGGGAAGCGGAAUUCCUGGUGUAGAGGUGAAAUUCGUAGAUAUCAGGAGGAACACCGGUGGCGAAGGCGGCUUCCCUGGACCAAUACUGACGCUGAGGUGCGAAGGCUUGGGGAGCAAACAGGAUUAGAUACCCUGGUAGUCCACGCAGUAAACGGUGAACACUAGGUGUAGCGGGUAUUGACCCCUGCUGUGCCGGAGUUAACGCAUUAAGUGUUCCGCCUGGGGAGUACGGCCGCAAAGGUUAAAAACUCAAAGGAAUUGACCGGGGGCCCGCACAAGCGGUGGAGCAUGUGGUUUAAUUCGACGCAAACGCGAAGAACCUUACCUGGGUUUGACAUCCCGGGAAUCCGUAUGAAAGUAUGGAGUGCCCUUCGGGGAGCCCGGAGACAGGUGCUGCAUGGCUGUCGUCAGCUCGUGUCGUGAGAUGUUGGGUUAAGUCCCGCAACGAGCGCAACCCUUGUCUUCAGUUGCCAGCGAUUCGGUCGGGGACUCUGGAGAUACUGCCCCGGUUAACGGGGAGGAAGGUGGGGAUGACGUCAAGUCCUCAUGGCCUUUAUGCCCAGGGCUACACACGUGCUACAAUGGUCUGUACAAAGGGUGCGAACCUGCGAAGCAAGCCAAUCCCAAAAAGCAGGCCUCAGUUCGGAUUGGAGUCUGCAACUCGACUCCAUGAAGUUGGAAUCGCUAGUAAUCGCGGAUCAGCAUGCCGUGGUGAUACGUUCCCGGGCCUUGUACACACCGCCCGUCACACCAUGAGAGUUGGCUGUACCCGAAGUCG
This 1410-nucleotide ribosomal RNA is filed under the name uncultured organism. RNAcentral's name for it is "16S ribosomal RNA". It matches the Rfam family "Bacterial small subunit ribosomal RNA", at positions 53 to 1429 of the family's 1533-position model. The record is from RNAcentral.